This 406-nucleotide ribosomal RNA is filed under the name uncultured bacterium. RNAcentral describes it as "partial 16S ribosomal RNA". It matches the Rfam family "Bacterial small subunit ribosomal RNA", at positions 30 to 526 of the family's 1533-position model. The record is from RNAcentral.
AUUGAACGCUGGCGGCAGGCCUAACACAUGCAAGUCGAACGAGUGGCGGACGGGUGAGUAAUGUCUGGGAAACUGCCUGAUGGAGGGGGAUAACUACUGGAAACGGUAGCUAAUACCGCAUACCAUCGGAUGUGCCCAGAUGGGAUUAGCUAGUAGGUGGGGUAAAGGCUCACCUAGGCGACGAUCCCUAGCUGGUCUGAGAGGAAGACCAGCAACACGGGAACUGAGACACGGUCCAGACUCCUACGGGAGGCAGCAGUGGGAAAUAUUGCACAAUGGGCGCAAGCCUGAUGCAGCCAUACCGCGUGUAUGAAGAAGGCCUUCGGGUUGUAAAGUACUUUCAGCGGGGAGGCGUUACCCGCAGAAGAAGCACCGGCUUACUCCGAGCCAGCAGCCACGGUAGUUC